CCUACGGGGGGCAGCAGUGGGGGAUAUUUCACAAUGGGGGGAACCCUGAUGCAGCGACGCCGCGUGGGUGAAGGAGUAUUUCGGUAUGUAAAGCCCUAUUGGCAGGGAAGAAUUUAGACGUUACCUGACUAAGAAGCCCCGCCUAACUACGUGCCAGCAGCCGCGGUAAUACGUAGGUGGCAAGCGUUAUCCGGAUUCACUGGGUGUAAAGGGGGCGUAGACGGCCAGGCAAGCCUGGAGUGAAAUCCCGGGGCCAAACCCCGAGACUGCUAUGGGAACUGUCAGGCUGGAGUGCGGUAGGGGCAGGCGGAAUUCCUGGUGUAGGGGUGAAAUGCGUAGAUAUCAGGAGGAACACCGGCGGCGAAGGCGGGCUGCUGGACCGCGACUGACGUUGAGGCUCGAAAGCGUGGGGAGCGAACAGGAUUAGAUACCCGAGUAGUC
Molecule: ribosomal RNA, 441 nt
Filed under: uncultured bacterium
Lineage: Bacteria
Description: partial 16S ribosomal RNA
Rfam family: Bacterial small subunit ribosomal RNA
Source: RNAcentral